UACAGAGGGUGCAAGCGUUAAUCGGAAUUACUGGGCGUAAAGCGUGCGUAGACGGUUAUUUAAGUCAGGUGUGAAAGCCCCGGGCUCAACCUGGGAAUUGCAUUUGAGACUGAAUAGCUAGGGUGCGGAAGAGGGAAGCGGAAUUUCCGGUGUAGCGGUGAAAUGCGUAGAUAUCGAUCGGAACACCCAUGGCGAAGGCAGCUCGCUGGCCUGCAACUGACGCUGAGGCGCGAAAGCGUGGGGAGCAAACAGG
This 253-nucleotide ribosomal RNA is filed under the name uncultured bacterium. RNAcentral's name for it is "partial 16S ribosomal RNA". It matches the Rfam family "Bacterial small subunit ribosomal RNA", at positions 524 to 776 of the family's 1533-position model. The record is from RNAcentral.